UACGGGGGGGGCAAGCGUUGUUCGGAUUCACUGGGCUUAAAGGGCGCGUAGGCGGGUGGUCAAGUCAGGGGUGAAAUCUUUCAGCUCAACUGGAAAACAGCUUCUGAUACUGGCCAUCUUGAGGGAGGUAGGGGCAUGUGGAACUUCCGGUGGAGCGGUGAAAUGCGUAGAUAUCGGAAGGAACGCCGGUGGCGAAAGCGACGUGCUGGACCUUUUCUGACGCUGAGGCGCGAAAGCCAGGGGAGCAAACGGG
This 253-nucleotide ribosomal RNA is filed under the name uncultured bacterium. Its description in RNAcentral is "partial 16S ribosomal RNA". It matches the Rfam family "Bacterial small subunit ribosomal RNA", at positions 524 to 776 of the family's 1533-position model. The record is from RNAcentral.